GUUGCUGACAUCACUAUGCUUGGCAUCUUUUGGAAGGGCUACUUGAGUUCAUACUCAGGUCCCCAUGCUUCCGAGGCAAGUGCUUUACUACCUGAGUCAUCCACCUCUCCUACCAUAUCAUCACUGUGCCAGUGGUGAUAGUCAGGAUUUCAGCAUCCCAGAUGCAGAGACCCACAACCAAACAUCAGGGAACUGCUCUAGCCUGCUGACAUCUUUAGAGGGCAAUGUACACUUGCUUGGAGCUAAUUCUGAGAUGCUUCAGAUGAACACAAUGGAUUAGUGGAUGGAUCUAUAGAAGCAGACAGUCAACAAAGCUCUCGGAAUGGAGAGAUGACUUAGUUAAGAAGCAAGAGGACCUGAGUUCCAGCCCCACAACUUAUGAAAAAAUGAUGGGCAUGAUGUCACAUUCAAAUGAUUCCAUCUCUCUGGAGGUCAGGUAGGCAGAACCCUGGGCUUCUUUCUGCAGCCUGCUUAGCCCGUGUGGCAAGCUCCAGGCCAAUGAAAAAUCUUUUCUCAAAAUGAAGGUCAGUUCGGGCAUGCCUCAGACAAGCUUCUUCUUGCAGUAGGAUGUAAUUAAAUCAGAGACAGUGUGCAGACUAUGAGAGACCGUGGAACACUCAUCCUUGGAUGGGAUAUCUUUA
This 641-nucleotide long non-coding RNA is filed under the name Mus spicilegus (steppe mouse). RNAcentral's name for it is "lncRNA (ENSMSIG00000015752.1)". Lineage: Eukaryota; Metazoa; Chordata; Mammalia; Rodentia; Muridae. The record is from RNAcentral.